GACAAACGCUGGCGGCGUGCCUAACACAUGCAAGUCGAGCGUGAAAGGGGCUUCGGCCCUGAGUAAAGCGGCGAACGGGUGAGUAACACGUGGGCAACCUGCCUCAAGGACUGGGACAACCCCGGGAAACCGGGGCUAAUACCGGACGAUGUCGUCUCGCGCAAGCGGGUCGACCAAAAGGUAGCUUCGGCCUCCGCCUUGAGAUGGGCCCGCGUCCUAUCAGCUUGUUGGUGAGGUAACGGCUCACCAAGGCUACGACGGGUAGCUGGGUCUGAGAGGAUGAUCAGCCACACUGGGACUGAGAUACGGCCCAGACUCCUACGGGUGGCUG
RNAcentral lists this ribosomal RNA (331 nucleotides) under uncultured Actinomycetes bacterium. RNAcentral describes it as "bacterial SSU rRNA". It matches the Rfam family "Bacterial small subunit ribosomal RNA", at positions 28 to 351 of the family's 1533-position model. The record is from RNAcentral. Lineage: Bacteria; Bacillati; Actinomycetota; Actinomycetes.